AGAGUUUGAUCCUGGCUCAGAAUCAACGCUGGCGGCGUGCCUAACACAUGCAAGUCGAGCGCGAAAGUAGGCUUCGGCCUACGAGUAGAGCGGCGAACGGGUGAGUAACGCGUGGGUGAUCUACCUUCGAGUGGGGAAUAACACCGGGAAACUGGUGCUAAUACCGCAUGACAUCUUCGGUUCGUUCCGAAGAUCAAAGCUGGGGACCGUAAGGCCUGGCGCUUGAAGAAGAGCCCGCGUCCGAUUAGGUAGUUGGCGGGGUAAUGGCCCACCAAGGCUUCUAUCGGUAGCCGGCCUGAGAGGGCUGACGGCCACACUGGGACUGAGACACGGCCCAAACUCCUACGGGAGGCAGCAGUGGGGAAUUUUUGUCGAUGGGGGAAACCCUGAACAAGCAACGCCGCGUGGAGGAUGAAGGCCCUCGGGUCGUAAACUCCUGUCGAUCGGGAAUAAUGCGCACGGACCAGUAUCUCCGGCGUGUUGACUGGACCGGUGGAGGAAGCCACGGUUAACUCUGUGCCAGCAACCGCGGUAAGACAGAGGUGGGAUGGGUUGUUCGGAAUUACUGUGCGUAAAGUGCGCGCAUGCGGUUCGUCAAGUCCCGUGUGAAAUCCUCCGGCUCAACUGGGGAAUUGCGCGGGGAAACUAACGAGCUUGAGUUCGGGAGAGGAGAGCGGAAGUUCCGGGUGUAGCGGGUGAAAUGCGCAGAUAUCCGGAGGAACACUAGUGGCGAAGGCGGCUUUCUGGACCGACACUGACGCUUAGCGCGAAAGCUAGGGGAGCGAACGGGAUUAUAUACCCCGGUAGUCCUAGCUCUAAUCGUUGAGCACUGGUGUAGGGGGUAUGAUCCCCCCCUGUGCCGAAGCUAACGCAUUAAGUGCUUCCGCCUGGGGAGUACGGUCGCAAGGCUGACACUCUAAAGGCUUGACGGGGGCCCGCACAAGCGGUCGAGCAUGUGGUUCAAUUCGACGCAACGCGAAGAACCUUGCCGGGUUCUGACCCGCCCGGGACCGCCCAGAGAUAGAGUUUCCUUCGGUGAUCCGUGUUGAGGUGAGCAUGGUGUGUCAGCUGUGUCGUGAGAUGGUG
This 1086-nucleotide ribosomal RNA is filed under the name uncultured Acidobacteriaceae bacterium. RNAcentral describes it as "bacterial SSU rRNA". It matches the Rfam family "Bacterial small subunit ribosomal RNA", at positions 8 to 1077 of the family's 1533-position model. The record is from RNAcentral. Lineage: Bacteria; Pseudomonadati; Acidobacteriota; Terriglobia; Terriglobales; Acidobacteriaceae.